RNAcentral lists this long non-coding RNA (682 nucleotides) under Oryza brachyantha (malo sina). RNAcentral describes it as "long non-coding RNA (OBRA_LNC000443)". The record is from RNAcentral. Lineage: Eukaryota; Viridiplantae; Streptophyta; Magnoliopsida; Poales; Poaceae.
AGAUUCCUCCUUUCACAUACUGAACAUGAAGGAUCAAUCGCAUCUCAAAUUUGCUCCGAAAAUUCAGGGAAAAUUUCAUCGAUCAAGAACUGAAAUUCGUAGGAUCGCCACUUACAUUUGAUGAAACAAUCCGGAGGUCAUCAUCCGGCGUUGGUAGAGUACAAGGCCUAGCCGCUGCUUCCGACAAAAAAAAAAGUCGAGCGCCGGCUCCAGGCUCAAGCAUGCCGCCUCGGGAUGAGAUCCUAGCAACAAUAAUAUGAAUUUGGUGUAUCUCAUGACCGUUGGAUCGAGACGGAUGGAUGAGAUAUAAUGCUACAACAUUCGCUACAGUAAUGAAUAGUGUUUUAAAAUUGCUGUUGCUAUGGUAUUCCAGCACUGUUCAUGGUAUUAAAAUAUUGUUCCACUCAGACUGCAGACGUACGGAGGAAGCAGAGGAAGAGGAGAGCAAGGGAGAGAAAGGAAGAAAAUAGGAAAAAAUAAAAACAAAAACCUAACAUAUGGGCCACUAUACAUCAUGUUAAUAAAACUAGAUAAAAAAUAAAUUGACGCUAUCGAGAGAUUUUUUAGGGCACAUUUUUUUUGAUUUAAGAUUAAGAAUAAUUUUAUACAUACCUGACGUUAAGUUAAAGAGACCUACGAUGAACUUGCUUCCACACAAGAAGGAAUUGCUCGGACAAGAGAC